GGAAUCGAUAACCGCUGAAAGCAUCUAAGCGGGAAGCGAGCCCUGAGAUGAGUCAUCCCUGACCCCUUGAGGGUCCUAAAGGGCCGUUGGAGACCACAACGUUGAUAGGUGGGGUGUGUAAGCGUAGUGAUACGUUGAGCUAACCCAUACUAAUUACCCGUGAGGCUUAACCAU
This 174-nucleotide ribosomal RNA is filed under the name Aeromonas caviae. RNAcentral describes it as "partial 23S ribosomal RNA". It matches the Rfam family "Bacterial large subunit ribosomal RNA", at positions 2757 to 2925 of the family's 2925-position model. The record is from RNAcentral. Lineage: Bacteria; Pseudomonadati; Pseudomonadota; Gammaproteobacteria; Aeromonadales; Aeromonadaceae.